This 324-nucleotide ribosomal RNA is filed under the name uncultured eukaryote. RNAcentral describes it as "partial 18S ribosomal RNA". It matches the Rfam family "Eukaryotic small subunit ribosomal RNA", at positions 1470 to 1796 of the family's 1831-position model. The record is from RNAcentral.
CCCUUAGAUGUCCUGGGCUGCACGCGCGCUACACUGAUGUGUCCAGUAAGCACCUAACCUCUACCGAAAGGAACGGGUAACCUUUGCAAAGCACAUCGUGAUGGGGAUAGAUUAUUGCAAUUAUUAGUCUUGAACGAGGAAUUCCUAGUAAGCACAAGUCAUCAGCUUGUGUUGAUUACGUCCCUGCCCUUUGUACACACCGCCCGUCGCUCCUACCGAUUGAAUGUUCCGGUGAGCUCUUCGGACUGCGCGGUCUGCAGUUUCUGCGUUCCGUGCGGAAAGUUGCGCAAACCUUAACAUUUAGAGGAAGGAGAAGUCGUAACA